Long non-coding RNA from Myotis lucifugus (little brown bat), 989 nucleotides. RefSeq lists it as uncharacterized. The transcript is spliced from 2 exons. The record is from RefSeq and is a predicted model, not a curated record. NCBI's taxonomy places the organism in Eukaryota, Metazoa, Chordata, Mammalia, Chiroptera, Vespertilionidae.
UUUUGCGAUAUAAGGUAACAAGGUUCUGGAAUUACAGUAUGGUGUGGACAUCCUUAGGGGGGCAUUAUUCAUCCUAGGACCCAUUGCAAGAGGAAAAAUCGACUUACAGUGGAGGAAUUGUGCAACACUUUGACCAGGUGAUCAGAAAAGAGCAGAUGGACAUCGCACCUCCAGUACUCAGGAGGGUCCAUCAGCAGCUAUGCAAUACUGGGUCCUGGCAAGGGGACCGAGUGAAGCAAGAUGACUGAAGGCCCUCAAGAAGAUCCCCCCAUCUAUUUGGGGAGACUUACUCAUGGAUAUAAAAUAGUGGGCUGGUUUCUCAUGAUCCUGCAUGGUGUGCCCCAUAGAUACUUAAAACAAUGCAAGUAACAAUCUAAAAUGGCCAAAAAAGGACAGGAAAAGGAGGGAGGGAGUGUUUUUAAAGCACUUGGACAGAAACUCUGAUGGUUAGGUGGAAGAUGCAGUGAAGCUGUAUAUUUUCCAGGUUUCGUCUUUUUCUUUUUUUAUUCAUCGUUUCAGAUAGAAAUGUUUAAGGGAAACAGCAGGGAAGGGCUGCUAGGAACAUAGCAAUUUGGUUUACCAGGAUCAUUAUAUUUAGUACUUUAAUGUCUAGCUUUUGAGGUGGGGGUGAGGGGUGUUGAAUUUAAGAAAAAGUAAACAGUUGUUCUUAAUUAUACCAUACGAUGGGACUUGGUGUACUAGCUUCAAACAAAAAUAAUCCAGCCUUUUCCACCAUUGCAGGACUGUCAGUGAUUAAACAGAAUUGAUCAUCUGGGUGGAUAUGAUUGGGAAUUAUUACAGUUAAAUAAUGCUUAGCCUUUGAGAGGAGCAGUAAACUCCAAGUAGAAUAUCGGUGAGUCAGCCUAUUGUGUAAUGUAGUAUUUAUUACCUACUGUUCUGUUUAUAUAAUGUAUUACAUUUUUGGAAUUCAUAUACCACCUGAUGAAUUUUAUGUAAUACUAACACAAUAAAAUAUUCCUGGAAUUCGA